RNAcentral lists this transfer RNA (87 nucleotides) under Camelus ferus (Wild Bactrian camel). It matches the Rfam family "tRNA". Rfam says of the family: Transfer RNA (tRNA) molecules are approximately 80 nucleotides in length. Their secondary structure includes four short double-helical elements and three loops (D, anti-codon, and T loops). The record is from Rfam by way of RNAcentral. Lineage: Eukaryota; Metazoa; Chordata; Mammalia; Artiodactyla; Camelidae.
GAAGGUGUAGUUCAGUGGUAGAGCAUGUAGACCUCAGUGGUAGACCUAGCAUAUGCGAGGUCCUGGGUUCAAUCCCCAGUACCUCCA